GCAGUCGAGGGGCAGCAUAAAAGUAGCAAUACUUUGGUGGCGACCGGCGCACGGGUGAGUAACACGUAUGCAACCUACCUAUCACAUGGGGAUAAUCCGGCGAAAGUCGGUCUAAUACCCGAUGGUAUUGAUUUUUCGCAUGAAAGAUUAAUUAAAGAAUUUCGGUGAUAGAUGGGCAUGCGUAACAUUAGAUAGUUGGUGAGGUAACGGCUCACCAAGUCAACGAUGUUUAGGGGUUCUGAGAGGAAGGUCCCCCACACUGGUACUGAGACACGGACCAGACUCCUACGGGAGGCAGCAGUGAGGAAUAUUGGUCAAUGGGCGAGAGCCUGAACCAGCCAAGUCGCGUGAAGGAAGAAUGUCCUAUGGAUUGUAAACUUCUUUUGUAAGGGAAUAAAGUGCAGCACGUGUGCUGUUUUGUAUGUACUUUACGAAUAAGGAUCGGCUAACUCCGUGCCAGCAGCCGCGGUAAUACGGAGGAUCCAAGCGUUAUCCGGAUUUAUUGGGUUUAAAGGGUGCGUAGGCGGACCAAUAAGUCAGUGGUGAAAGUUUGCAGCUUAACUGUAAAAUUGCCAUUGAAACUGUCGGUCUUGAGUGCAAGUGAGGUAAGCGGAAUGUGUUGUGUAGCGGUGAAAUGCUUAGAUAUGACACAGAACACCGAUUGCGAAGGCAGCUUACUGGUAUGUAACUGACGCUGAGGCACGAAAGCGUGGGGAUCAAACAGGAUUAGAUACCCUGGUAGUCCACGCAGUAAACGAUGAAUACUAGUUGUUUGCGAUACACAGCAAGUAACACAGCGAAAGCGUUAAGUAU
This 813-nucleotide ribosomal RNA is filed under the name bacterium SCGC AAA018-K16. RNAcentral describes it as "SSU rRNA". It matches the Rfam family "Bacterial small subunit ribosomal RNA", at positions 57 to 867 of the family's 1533-position model. The record is from RNAcentral.